Pseudopipra pipra is the source of this 400-nucleotide long non-coding RNA. RefSeq lists it as uncharacterized. The record is from RefSeq and is a predicted model, not a curated record. The transcript is spliced from 2 exons. NCBI's taxonomy places the organism in Eukaryota, Metazoa, Chordata, Aves, Passeriformes, Pipridae.
GCACAGGAACCCACAUGGCACGUCCGCCAGGUGGAAGCCACUGCACCUCCCCCCGUGCUGGUGGCAAAGGGCUAGUCAUCCUCUGACAGAGCUCCCACACCUUCCCUGAGCCACACGGCCUGAGGAGUAAAAGCCUGCUCAGGGCUGUAACUGAGCCAGGUCACAGCUUUUCUGGCCCCCAAGACACUGAGGGUUUCACUUCCACUUCUAUCAUGGAGAAAGCCUGCCAGAGAAAGAUGUCCUGUUGAAGGAGGAGAUCUGGAACACAAGAUUUAUGGACUACAAGGACCUUCUGCAGAAACCAGCAGCUAAAGAAGAAGACUAACAAAGGCUCAGCAUUUGUGUCAGAAAAUCCCUAGGGGAGGGAAAAUAUACAAAAAAGAUUAAAGAUAUGAAGUUA